UGAGGAAUAUUGGGCAAUGCCCGCAAGGGUGACCCAGCAACGCCGCGUGGAGGAUGAAUGUCGUAAGAUUGUAAACUCCUGUUAGAGGGGAAGAAUAGUACCGGUUGGACCGGUAUAUGACUGUACCCUCAGAGAAAGCCCCGGCUAACUACGUGCCAGCAGCCGCGGUAAUACGUAGGGGGCAAGCGUUGUCCGGAUUUACUGGGUGUAAAGGGCGCGCAGGCGGGAUAAAAAGUCAGUGGUGAAAUCCUACAGCUUAACUGUAGAACUGCCUUUGAUACUUUUAUUCUUGAGUUCGGGAGAGAGAGACGGAAUUCCAGGUGUAGUGGUGAAAUACGUAGAUAUCUGGAAGAACACCAGUUGCGAAGGCGGUCUCUUGGUCCGACACUGACGCUGAGGCGCGAAAGAGUGGGGAGCAAACA
This 422-nucleotide ribosomal RNA is filed under the name uncultured bacterium. RNAcentral describes it as "bacterial SSU rRNA". It matches the Rfam family "Bacterial small subunit ribosomal RNA", at positions 355 to 774 of the family's 1533-position model. The record is from RNAcentral.